This 589-nucleotide long non-coding RNA is filed under the name Lathyrus oleraceus (garden pea). RNAcentral's name for it is "Pisum sativum (pea) long non-coding RNA (PSAT_LNC003669)". The record is from RNAcentral. Lineage: Eukaryota; Viridiplantae; Streptophyta; Magnoliopsida; Fabales; Fabaceae.
AGAUUGAAAGGCUUGUCUCUUGUGAUAAGAAAGACCUUUCAAAAAAAAAAUGCUAGGGAGGAAAGGGAUGUGGAUUAUUUAUCGAUGGAUCCUUCGAUAUUACGAUCAUAUGAGAGGAUUGAUAAGAAGAAUGGCCAAAGGUUUAUAAGAUUAAACAAAUUUAACUUUAUUGUCAUCAAGGAAAGGAAACUAGAAGUAGUUGAGACUUCACUUUAUACGUGGUAAUUCCUAUUGCAUUGGCUUUGUGUCCCGAUAGUGAUGAAUAUUAGAGAUAUUAUUUCUAUUUAAUGUUGCUCAAAGUGCCAUCAAGGGAUUUGGGAUUUUAAUACGGGUGUGUAUCAAGGGAUCUGGGUUUUUAAUAACUUUUUAGAUAUGAUGGAUAUUCAAGAUUUUCCUUGUUUGGAUAGAGUGUUCACUUUAUUCCAAUAGAAUGUGAGAGUUAUGAACUGCUUAGACCAUAUAAUGGUGCUUGUGGGCCGGUUGGAUUUUUGGGCUCCUUCGCAAUGAUCAAUGUCGAGGGGAAAAUUUUAUCUUAUACCCCUACAUUUAUUCUUAUAUUCCUAUAUUUUAUAAAAAAUAUCAAUUUUAU